This 466-nucleotide ribosomal RNA is filed under the name uncultured bacterium. RNAcentral's name for it is "bacterial SSU rRNA". It matches the Rfam family "Bacterial small subunit ribosomal RNA", at positions 954 to 1421 of the family's 1533-position model. The record is from RNAcentral.
GCUAAACGCGAAGAACCUUACCAGGCCUUGACAUGCAGAGAACUUUCCAGAGAUGGAUUGGUGCCUUCGGGAACUCUGACACAGGUGCUGCAUGGCUGUCGUCAGCUCGUGUCGUGAGAUGUUGGGUUAAGUCCCGUAACGAGCGCAACCCUUGUCCUUAGUUACCAGCACGUUAUGGUGGGCACCCUAAGGAGACUGCCGGUGACAAACCGGAGGAAGGUGGGGAUGACGUCAAGUCAUCAUGGCCUUUAUGGCCAGGGCUACACACGUGCUACAAUGGCAGGUACAGAGGGAAGCCAACCGGCAACGGGGAGCCAAUCCCAGAAAGCCUGUCUUAGUCCGGAUCGCAGUCUGCAACUCGACUCCGUGAAGUCGGAAUCGCUAGUAAUCGCGGAUCAGAAUGCCGCGGUGAAUACGUUCCCGGGUCUUGUACACACCGAGUCGUGGGAGGCAAGGGCACACAGGG